This 638-nucleotide ribosomal RNA is filed under the name uncultured bacterium. RNAcentral's name for it is "bacterial SSU rRNA". It matches the Rfam family "Bacterial small subunit ribosomal RNA", at positions 232 to 885 of the family's 1533-position model. The record is from RNAcentral.
CGCGGCCUAUCAGCUUGUUGGCGGGGUAACGGCCCACCAAGGCAUCGACGGGUAGCUGGUCUGAGAGGACGAUCAGCCACACUGGGACUGAGACACGGCCCAGACUCCUACGGGAGGCAGCAGUGGGGAAUCUUGCGCAAUGGGCGAAAGCCUGACGCAGCAACGCCGCGUGGGGGAUGAAGGCCUUCGGGUUGUAAACCCCUUUCAACAGGGACGAAAAUGACGGUACCUGCAGAAGAAGCCCGGCCAACUACGUGCCAGCAGCCGCGGUAACACGUAGGGGGCGAGCGUUGUCCGGAUUUAUUGGGCGUAAAGAGCUCGUAGGCAGUUGCGUAAGUCGGAUGUGAAAACUCAGGGCUCAACCCGGAGACGCCAUCCGAUACUGCGCUGACUAGAGUCCGGUAGGGGAGCAUGGAAUUCCUGGUGUAGCGGUGAAAUGCGCAGAUAUCAGGAGGAACACCAGUAGCGAAGGCGGUGCUCUGGGCCGGAACUGACGCUGAGGAGCGAAAGCGUGGGUAGCGAACAGGAUUAGAUACCCUGGUAGUCCACGCCGUAAACGUUGGGCACUAGGUGUGGGGCCUACUUAACGGGUUCCGUGCCGUAGCUAACGCAUUAAGUGCCCCGCCUGGGGAGUACGG